GAUGAACGCUGGCGGCGUGCCCAAUACAUGCAAGUCGAGCGAACAGACGAGGAGCUUGCUCCUCUGACGUUAGCGGCGGACGGGUGAGUAACACGUGGAUAACCUACCUAUAAGACUGGGAUAACUUCGGGAAACCGGAGCUAACACCGGAUAUUAUAUUGAACCGCAUGGUUCAAUAGUGAAAGACGGUUUUGCUGUCACUUAGAGGUGGAUCCGCGCCGCAUUAGCUAGUUGGUAAGGUAACGGCUUACCAAGGCAACGAUGCGUAGCCGACCUGAGAGGGUGAUCGGCCACACUGGAACUGAGACACGGUCCAGACUCCUACGGGAGGCAGCAGUAGGGAAUAUUCCACAAUGGGCGAAAGCCUGACGGAGCAACGCCGCGUGAGUGAUGAAGGUCUUCGGAUCGUAAAGCUCUGUUAUUAGGGAAGAACAGCAGUGUAAGUAACUAUGCACGUCUUGACGGUACCUACUCAGAAAGCCCCGGCUAACUACGUG
RNAcentral lists this ribosomal RNA (497 nucleotides) under uncultured bacterium. RNAcentral's name for it is "partial 16S ribosomal RNA". It matches the Rfam family "Bacterial small subunit ribosomal RNA", at positions 28 to 507 of the family's 1533-position model. The record is from RNAcentral.